Molecule: ribosomal RNA, 1346 nt
Filed under: uncultured bacterium
Lineage: Bacteria
Description: bacterial SSU rRNA
Rfam family: Bacterial small subunit ribosomal RNA
Source: RNAcentral
GACGAACGCUGUCGGCGUGCUUAACACAUGCAAGUCGAACGGAAAGGCCCUGCUUUUGUGGGGUGCUCGAGUGGCGAAUGGGUGAGUAACACGUGAGUAACCUGCCCUUGACUUUGGGAUAACUUCAGGAAACUGGGGCUAAUACCGGAUAGGAGCUCCUGCUGCAUGGUGGGGGUUGGAAAGUUUCGGCGGUUGGGGAUGGACUCGCGGCUUAUCAGCUUGUUGGUGGGGUAGUGGCUUACCAAGGCUUUGACGGGUAGCCGGCCUGAGAGGGUGACCGGCCACAUUGGGACUGAGAUACGGCCCAGACUCCUACGGGAGGCAGCAGUGGGGAAUAUUGCACAAUGGGCGGAAGCCUGAUGCAGCAACGCCGCGUGCGGGAUGACGGCCUUCGGGUUGUAAACCGCUUUCGCCUGUGACGAAGCGUGAGUGACGGUAAUGGGUAAAGAAGCACCGGCUAACUACGUGCCAGCAGCCGCGGUGAUACGUAGGGUGCGAGCGUUGUCCGGAUUUAUUGGGCGUAAAGGGCUCGUAGGUGGUUGAUCGCGUCGGAAGUGUAAUCUUGGGGCUUAACCCUGAGCGUGCUUUCGAUACGGGUUGACUUGAGGAAGGUAGGGGAGAAUGGAAUUCCUGGUGGAGCGGUGGAAUGCGCAGAUAUCAGGAGGAACACCAGUGGCGAAGGCGGUUCUCUGGGCCUUUCCUGACGCUGAGGAGCGAAAGCGUGGGGAGCGAACAGGCUUAGAUACCCUGGUAGUCCACGCUGUAAACGGUGGGUACUAGGUGUGGGGUCCAUUCCACGGGUUCCGUGCCGUAGCUAACGCUUUAAGUACCCCGCCUGGGGAGUACGGCCGCAAGGCUAAAACUCAAAGGAAUUGACGGGGCCCCGCACAAGCGGCGGAGCAUGCGGAUUAAUUCGAUGCAACGCGUAGAACCUUACCUGGGUUUGACAUGGAUCGGGAGUGCUCAGAGAUGGGUGUGCCUCUUUUGGGGUCGGUUCACAGGUGGUGCAUGCCUGUCGUCAGCUCGUGUCGUGAGAUGUUGGGUUAAGUCCCGCAACGAGCGCAACCCUUGUUCACUGUUGCCAGCACGUUAUGGUGGGGACUCAGUGGAGACCGCCGGGGUCAACUCGGAGGAAGGUGGGGAUGACGUCAAGUCCUCAUGCCCCUUAUGUCCAGGGCUUCACGCAUGCUACAAUGGCUGGUACAGAGAGUGGCGAGCCUGUGAGGGUGAGCGAAUCUCGGAAAGCCGGUCUCAGUUCGGAUUGGGGUCUGCAACUCGACCUCAUGAAGUCGGAGUCGCUAGUAAUCGCAGAUCAGCAACGCUGCGGUGAAUACGUUCCCGGGGCU